RNAcentral lists this ribosomal RNA (497 nucleotides) under uncultured bacterium. RNAcentral's name for it is "partial 16S ribosomal RNA". It matches the Rfam family "Bacterial small subunit ribosomal RNA", at positions 28 to 507 of the family's 1533-position model. The record is from RNAcentral.
GAUGAACGCUGGCGGCGUGCCUAAUACAUGCAAGUCGAGCGAACGGAUGAGAAGCUUGCUUCUCUGAUGUUAGCGGCGGACGGGUGAGUAACACGUGGAUAACCUACCUAUAAGACUGGGAUAACUUCGGGAAACCGGAGCUAAUACCGGAUAAUAUUUUGAACCGCAUGGUUCAAAAGUGAAAGACGGUCUUGCUGUCACUUAUAGAUGGAUCCGCGCUGCAUUAGCUAGUUGGUAAGGUAACGGCUUACCAAGGCAACGAUGCAUAGCCGACCUGAGAGGGUGAUCGGCCACACUGGAACUGAGACACGGUCCAGACUCCUACGGGAGACAGCAGUAGGGAAUCUUCCGCAAUGGGCGAAAGCCUGACGGAGCAACGCCGCGUGAGUGAUGAAGGUCUUCGGAUCGUAAAACUCUGUUAUUAGGGAAGAACAUAUGUGUAAGUAACUGUGCACAUCUUGACGGUACCUAAUCAGAAAGCCACGGCUAACUACGUG